GAUGAACGCUGACAGAAUGCUUAAUACAUGCAAGUCGACUGUGGCGGACGGGUGAGUGACGCGUAAAGAACUUGCCUCACAGCGAGGGCCAACAUUUGGAAACGAAUGCUAAUACCUGAUAUUGUGAGAGAGAUUUGCGUCACAUUAGCUAGUUGGAGAGGUAACUGCUCACCAAGGCGAUGAUGGGUAGCCGGCCUGAGAGGGUGAUCGGCCACAAGGGGACUGAGACACGGCACUUACGCAUACGGGAGGAAGCAGGGAGGAAUGUCGGAGAAUGGACCAGAGUCUGAUACAGCAAUUGUGUGGGAAAGAUCAAGGUUUCAGAAGGUAAAGUGCUUUCAGUUAGGAAGCGGUACCAACAGAAGAAGUGACGGCUAACUACGUGCCAGCCGCCGCGGUAAUAC
RNAcentral lists this ribosomal RNA (404 nucleotides) under uncultured bacterium. RNAcentral describes it as "partial 16S ribosomal RNA". It matches the Rfam family "Bacterial small subunit ribosomal RNA", at positions 28 to 526 of the family's 1533-position model. The record is from RNAcentral.